This 869-nucleotide ribosomal RNA is filed under the name uncultured archaeon. Its description in RNAcentral is "bacterial SSU rRNA". It matches the Rfam family "Archaeal small subunit ribosomal RNA", at positions 1 to 878 of the family's 1478-position model. The record is from RNAcentral.
CUCCGGUUGAUCCUGCCGGACCUGACUGCUAUCGGAUUGGUACUAAGCCAUGCGAGUCAUUGUAGCAAUACAAGGCGGACGGCUCAGUAACACGUAGUCAACCUAACUCGUGGACGUGGAUAACCUCGGGAAACUGAGAAUAAACCACGAUAGAUCAUAGUGCCUGGAAUGGCUUAUGGUCCAAACAGUUUACUGCCAUGGGAUGGGACUGCGGCCUAUCAGCUUGUUGGUGAGGUAAUGGCCCACCAAGGCGAUUACAGGUACGGGCUCUGAGAGGAGAAGCCCGGAGAUGGGUACUGAGACACGGACCCAGGCCCUAUGGGGCGCAGCAGGCGAGAAACCUUAGCAAUGUGCGAAAGCACGACUGGGUCAGUCCGAGUGAUUCCUGAUAAAGGAGUCUUUUGCUUGUCCUAAAAGCACAGGUGAAUAAGGGGUGGGCAAGUCUGGUGUCAGCCGCCGCGGUAAUACCAGCACCUCGAGUGGUCAGGACGUUUAUUGGGCCUAAAGCAUCCGUAGCCGGCUCUGCAAGUCUUCGGUUAAAUCCACCUGCUCAACAGAUGGGCUGCUGGAGAUACUACAGAGCUAGGGAGUGGGAGAGGCAGACGGUAUUCAGUGGGUAGGGGUAAAAUCCUCUGAUCCAUUGAGGACCACCAGUGGCGAAGGCGGUCUGCCAGAACACGCUCGACGGUGAGGGAUGAAAGCUGGGGGAGCAAACCGGAUUAGAUACCCGGGUAGUCCCAGCUGUAAACGAUGCAGACUCGGUGAUGAGUUGGCUUAUUGCUAACUCAGUGCCGCAGGGAAGCCGUUAAGUUUGCCGCCUGGGGAGUACGGUCGCAAGACUGAAACUUAAAGGAAUUGGCGGGGGAGCA